RNAcentral lists this ribosomal RNA (484 nucleotides) under uncultured bacterium. Its description in RNAcentral is "partial 16S ribosomal RNA". It matches the Rfam family "Bacterial small subunit ribosomal RNA", at positions 28 to 507 of the family's 1533-position model. The record is from RNAcentral.
AUUGAACGCUGGCGGCAUGCUUUACACAUGCAAGUCGAACGGCAGCGCGGGCUUCGGCCUGGCGGCGAGUGGCGAACGGGUGAGUAAUGCAUCGGAACGUGCCCAGUAGUGGGGGAUAGCCCGGCGAAAGCCGGAUUAAUACCGCAUACGACCUGAGGGUGAAAGCGGGGGACCGAAAGGCCUCGCGCUAUUGGAGCGGCCGAUGUCGGAUUAGCUAGUUGGUGGGGUAAAGGCUUACCAAGGCGACGAUCCGUAGCUGGUCUGAGAGGACGACCAGCCACACUGGGACUGAGACACGGCCCAGACUCCUACGGGAGGCAGCAGUGGGGAAUUUUGGACAAGGGGGUCAACCCUGAUCCAGCCAUGCCGCGUGCGGGAAGAAGGCCUUCGGGUUGUAAACCGCUUUUGUUCGGGAAGAAAUCCUCUGGGCUAAUACCCCGGGGGGAUGACGGUACCGGAAGAAUAAGCACCGGCUAACUACGUG